Danionella cerebrum is the source of this 72-nucleotide non-coding RNA. NCBI's taxonomy places the organism in Eukaryota, Metazoa, Chordata, Actinopteri, Cypriniformes, Danionidae. The record is from the annotation of a GenBank genome assembly.
GGCUCGUUGGUCUAGGGGUAUGAUUCUUGCUUAGGGUGAGAGAGGUCCACGGUUCAAAUCGCAGACGACUCC